This 25-nucleotide non-coding RNA is filed under the name Rattus norvegicus (Norway rat). Lineage: Eukaryota; Metazoa; Chordata; Mammalia; Rodentia; Muridae. The record is from RNAcentral.
UAGCUAUCUUGGUGGUGUAGCCUGU